AACUUCCUUCAUAAAUAAAAUAAUUUUUUAAUAAAAUUAAUUUUCCUAAAAUUCAUCUGAAAAGUAUCAUUCUUAUUAAAUAGCAGUAAUAAACGUACCUUUUGCAUCAUGGUUUAACUAGUUUAUAAUUAUAAAUUAUACCCGAAACACUACAGAGCUGGAAACAUGCUGAUUAGAUACCCAUACUACAAUGUUGCAUUAUUGUGAUAAGACAUGUUUUCAGAGGCUACAUACCCCCGCGGAGUGUAAUAGCUGGUUACAUUUAAAAUUGAUGUUAGUCAAAAAAGCCUCAGGCUAUAUAAUUAUUAAAGGCAAAGCUUUAAUAAUAAACCUAUAAUUUUAUAUGAGAGAUUAAAAUAGGCUUAACAACAGCUAUUAUAUCGUUACUGUACAAAUCAUUCGAUUCUUCAAUUAUAUUAAAUUGAGUUUAUAAAUGUAAUUCUCUUUUCUAAAGACUAACUUAUACUGUUAUAACUAAUACUCUCAAUCUAUUUUACGUAUUUAACCGUAUAUUUAAAAUAAUUAAAAUUCAUAUUUUGAUAAGGAACUCGGCAAAAUAUAUUCAGCCUGUUUAACAAAAACACCGCCUAUUGAAUAUAUAAUAGGUCCAUCCUGCCCAGUGAUACAAAUUCAACGGCCGCGGUACCUUGACCGUGCAAAGGUAGCAUAAUCAUUUGCCUUUUAAUUGGAGGCUAGUAUGAAAGGACACACAAGAAUAUAGCUGUCUCAUCAAAAAUCAAAGAAAACUGAUAUUUAGGUGAAGAAGCCUAAAUUUUUAUAAAAGACAAGAAGACCCUAUAGAGCUUUAUUAAUACAUGUUAUAACACUUAAUUAUUAAUUUGGUUGGGACAACCAAAAGACAUUAAUACCUCUUUUUUACCUUAUUAGACUCACACCCAUCAAUGUUUUAGAAAUAGCUACCUUAGGGAUAACAGGCUAAUUUCACUAGAGAGUUCACAUUGACAGUGAAGUUUGGCACCUCGAUGUUGGCUUAGUGUAACUAUUAGGCGCAGCCGCUUAAUAAAGUUGGUUUGUUCAACCAUUAAAUCACUACAUGAGCUGAGUUCAGACCGGCGUAAGCCAGGUUAGAUUCUAUCUUUAUUAAUAUAAUAAAUUACAGUACGAAAGGACCUAAAUUUAUGAAUUUAAUUCUAUUUAUUAAACCACAUU
Molecule: ribosomal RNA, 1170 nt
Filed under: Platynereis bicanaliculata
Lineage: Eukaryota; Metazoa; Annelida; Polychaeta; Phyllodocida; Nereididae
Description: 16S ribosomal RNA
Rfam family: Archaeal large subunit ribosomal RNA (bases 511-1170)
Source: RNAcentral